Molecule: ribosomal RNA, 274 nt
Filed under: uncultured bacterium
Lineage: Bacteria
Description: partial 16S ribosomal RNA
Rfam family: Bacterial small subunit ribosomal RNA
Source: RNAcentral
AUACGGAGGGGGCUAGCGUUGUGCGGAAUUACUGGGCGUAAAGCGUACGUAGGCGGACUGAUCAGUUGGGGGUGAAAUCCCAGGGCUUAACCCUGGAACUGCCUUCAAUACUGUCAGUCUUGAGAUUGGAAGAGGUGAGUGGAAUUCCUAGUGUAGAGGUGAAAUUCAUAGAUAUUAGGAGGAACACCAGUGGCGAAGGCGGCUCACUGGUCCAAUACUGACGCUGAGGUACGAAAGCGUGGGGAGCAAACAGGAUUAGAAACCCUAGUAGUCC